GUUUGUCGUUUUAAAUUCGACAAUAGCUUUAAUUAUUUUUCCGGAGAAAAGAUAUUUUCCGACUUUCAAUUGUUUUUCUAUUUUUAAUAGCCUUCGUUUCGCCAAAACUUUUACGUCGAACAAAAUUACUGUCUUCAAAUAUAAAUGCUUGCCAAAAGAAAAAAGCUCAAAGAAGAGAGGAUUUGUGAAAUAAAAAAAGAUACAAAUUGCGAAUUCGCCUCAUAUACCUACAGUAGCAUAUUCUUUUAUAUAUCCAUUAGAAUCCGAUCAGAAGAAUUAUGGAAGAAUUGAAUUAGUUUAGGACUACACCUCACCAGAUAAAAUGAUGUCAGAGUGGGGGUCCUGCGACAGGACAAGGACGAUAAGGACUGUAAAUAGCGCGGCAUUCAUGAAAUUUACUACAGGGGUGUUUUCUGUCGCUACAACAACAACACAACAGCUAAUUUUUCGAGUCAUAUCGUCUACAUCAGACAAAAAGACGAGUAAUCUAGGUUAAAUUUGAGCUAUGGCUUCCGAGGAUGGUUAAGUUUCUGUAACCAAACGUUGCGUUGGUACUUACAGUAUGCCAUUUAAAAAUCGCAGCACAGCGAAGGUAAUGAAAUUCGGCGAUAAACUUGAGAGGGCCGUAACAAAAAAGCCCAUGAGUAAUGCCGGUUGCAUUAUCCGCUUGCGACCUGUGGUAUCGGCUAGAAAUCCCCAAAAGUGUGAACUCGUAAUGACACCGGCAAAGGAAACAGCGCCUAUUAUGCCCUGCUCCCGGUGAGAUAGAUUCAGGUCACAUUCUAAGACGGGCAGUGCAAAGCUAACGCCCACCGAUUCGAGAACCACAUUAUUGAGCACGAAGCCGCAAAAUAAAAUUACGAGUAUGUUAAAUUUGCCAUAACCUGUGGGAAGACAAACAUUUUUUUUACAAAUAUUAAAAAAAAAAUAUACAACAUAAAGCUAAUAAAUUUCUCAAAUGUA
Molecule: non-coding RNA, 963 nt
Organism: Bactrocera oleae (olive fruit fly)
Lineage: Eukaryota; Metazoa; Arthropoda; Insecta; Diptera; Tephritidae
Source: RefSeq, a predicted model, not a curated record